This 2887-nucleotide long non-coding RNA is filed under the name Gossypium barbadense (sea-island cotton). RNAcentral describes it as "long non-coding RNA (GBAR_LNC015292)". Lineage: Eukaryota; Viridiplantae; Streptophyta; Magnoliopsida; Malvales; Malvaceae. The record is from RNAcentral.
AGUGAAUUUGUCUAAAUUGAGGUUAAUUAUGAAAGAGGAUUAAAUUGCAAUAGAGAUAAAAGUUUAAUUAUAGAUUAAAGAAAAAUUAAAAGGACCAAAUAGAAAAUUAUGCCUUUUUCUAAAAUUGAGGCGGCAUAAGAAAAGAAAAAUCUGAGAUAUUUUUAAUUUAAAAUAUAUAUUAUAUUAUACAUGCGUAAGUAAUAAGUAUGUUUUUAUAUUAUAUUAUUAUAAAUAUAUUAUAUUAUAUUAUAUUAUAUUAUAUAUAUAUAUAUAUAUAAGACAAAAGAAAGAAGAGAAAAAGAGAACAGAAACAGAAUUGAAAAACGAAACAGAGAAGAACAGGGGAGAAAGAAAGAAAGAAAAGAAAAAGGGGAAAAUUGAGGUUUCAAGGUUCCAAGCUCAAUUGGUAAGUUAAAUUAAGUCAUUUUCUUAUAAUUUUUUAGUUUUUGGAAUCCUAAAACAAAGUAUUAUUGGAUUUAUGUUGAAAUUUUGUAAGAUAUUUUAUUUUUAGACAUGAGUUAUGUUGAAUUAAUUGAUGAAUUAGAGGUUAAAAUGAUUGAAUUUCAAGUUAGAAGUUAGUAAAGGAUUUAAUUGUAAAAUGAAGUGUAAGUUUUGAAUAGUAGGGACUAAAUUGAAAGAAUCCCGAAAUUAGGGAUUUAUGGUGAAAUUGAAGAGCUAAAUUGAGUUUAUAGUAAGAAUUAAGAGAGAAUAUGGAGUUAGAAUGAGAAAAUAAAAUUAGUAUUGAUAAAUGAUUAAAUUAGAAUUUAGGUAAAGUUUAGGUAUAAAUGGAAAUAUUUUAAUGAAAUUGUGUAUUAAUGAUUUUUAAUUGUUUAAUUACGUAGCUAAUGUCGUGCAAGAGUCAUUGUCCGAGAAAGGAAAGGAGAAGGUGAACAAGGAGUGACUCGAGAGAAAUUUCGGUUAGUAUUACCAUAAUUCGAAUUUAAUCAUUAAUUGAUAAAUUUUAAAUUAAUAUACAUGAUAAACAAAUUGAGGUAAGUAUCACGAUUGAAUUGAAUGAUAAAUACAUAUUGUUAUUGAAUUUAUUAAUAGCAAUUGUUGAAUUUUGAAUAAUAUGUUUAGUAAAUAAAAAUAAGGUGAAUAUUGAUAUGGAAUUGUAUGUGAAUUGAAUGGAAAUUACUAGUGAUAUAAUUUGAAUUAAAAGAUUUAAUGUGGUAUUGAAAUGUAUGUUGAAUGUAAAAUAAUUAGUGAUUUGAAUUUGUUUGGAAAAUGAAUUAAAAUAUGAAUUGAAUAAAAGUGAAUUAAAUUAUGAUUAUGUGUGAAUAUGUGAAUUGUGAAUUGAUAUGUGAAUUGGAAAUCGAGAUAUGAGAUUUGAAUAUAUGUGAAUAUGUGAAUUGUGUAUUGAUUGAAAAGUGGUUUGAAUUGAAUCGAAGUAUGAUUAUAUGUGAAUAUCUGAAAUAUGUAUUGGUAUUGAAUUGUAUAUUGAUUUGAAAGUGGGAAGUGAAUCUGAGUUGAAUUGUGAUUGAAUCGAAAGUGAAUUUGAAAUAGAAAAAUGAUUUGAAAACCCUAUUAACUAGUCGGGCUGAGUCGAAUAUAGUUGGCAUGCCAUAGGAUUGGAAGUGUUUAGGGAUACUUCGACCUUGAGUCGAUGAGACACUGGGUGUCAUACUGUUACUUCGGAUAGAUUCAAUGAGGUACUGGGUACCAACUUACUUCGGCUUGACCGAUGAGACACUGGGUGUCACUUUAUUGCUUCGAACUAUCCGAUGAGGCACUGGGUGCCAUUCUGGUGUGUUUGGUUGGAUCCGUGUAUCCGCUAAGGUCCGAGUCAAGUUAAUAGGGGUAAAUAAAUAGUUUUGAUAAUAUAAAUUUUAUUGAAUGAUCUUGAAUAUGAAUUGAAAUAAGAUAUUAAAUUGAGAUAUGGAAAUGAAAUGUAUGAACCAUGGGUUCAAGAAAUAGAUAAUGAUAUAGUUCAUGAAAUGGUUUUGGUAGUAUGAGAUGAUGUAAAAAUAUAAGUAAAGAAAAGCAAAUUGAAAUAGCUAUUGUUGAGAAAUGAGAAGUGAAAAUAAAAUGAUUUGAAAUAGUGAAAUAAUAUGUGAAUUUAAUUGAAUACAAAUUAUUGAAAUUUAUUUAUGGAUUUAAUGUAUAAAUUGAGUGUUAAAAGAUUAUAAGUGUAAAAUUGAAUAUAAAUAGAAAGGAUAACGAAUGAGUUGAUGAAAUGAUUUUGUAUAGAUUGGAAUGAGUUAUUAGAAUGAGAUGUUGAAAAAUCCAAUAAAAUUUAGAUAGUGAAACAAGGUAUGAAAACAAUUAAAUAUAAGAUUGAAAUAUUGCUUAUUGUUAUUAAUGAUCAAGUUGAUUUAAAGUAUGAGACAAUUAACGAAUAAUUGUAGACAUAAAUUAAAUGUAUAUAAAUUAUCGAUUAAUGUUAUUAAUUUUAAUUAUGGUAAUACCACUGAGUAUUCCUAUACUCAGCGUACGGUUGUUUCCGUGCGCAGGUUAGUAGAAAACCAGUGUUCGGUUCAGCAUCCAGAGCAAUCCCGACCUCAAAGAUAUUUUAGUGAUGUACUUUUCUUUUGAUAACGUGGCAUGUACCUAAGUGAUGUAUAGGGAUUUAGUUAUUUCGUAUGUUUGUAAUUAUGAUUUUGCUAUAGAAAGAUGUGUAAGUAUUUGAUGAUGAAUGGUUGUUUAAAUGGUCAAGGAUGAAGAUGUUUGUUGUUAUAAAGGUCUAGGUGAUAAAUUAUGUAUGGAAAUCAUGAAAGGGUAAAAUUUUGCAAAGAAACAGAAUUCAGGCAGCAGCAGUGAUGUAACUUUGAAAAAUCACCUAGGAUAGUAUAAAAUUAAUUAGAGGGUGAAUAAUAUAUGGAAUUAAAGCUUGUUGAGUCUAUUUUCAUGGAAAAAUAACGGUUUAACAAAAGGAAUUUUAUAUUUU